This 446-nucleotide ribosomal RNA is filed under the name uncultured bacterium. RNAcentral's name for it is "partial 16S ribosomal RNA". It matches the Rfam family "Bacterial small subunit ribosomal RNA", at positions 338 to 795 of the family's 1533-position model. The record is from RNAcentral.
CCUACGGGAGGCAGCAGUAGGGAAUUUUCGGCAAUGGGGGAAACCCUGACCGAGCAAAGCCGCGUGAACGAUGAAGUUCUUCGUAAUGUAAAGUUCUUUUAACAGGGAAGAAAGAGACAUUUGACGGUACCUGAUGAAUAUGCUCCGGCUAACUACGUGCCAGCAGCCGCGGGAAUACGUAGCGAGAGAGCGUUAUCCGGAAUUAUUGGUCGUAAAGGGUGGGUUGAGGGCAUAGUAAGUCUUUGGUAAAAAUGCUGGGCUAAACCCAGAAGGGCAAAAGAUACUGCAAAGCUAGAGUUUGACAGAGGCAAGUGGAACUAGAGGUGUAGCGGUAAAAUGCUUAGAUAUAUGUAAGAACACCAGUUGCGAAGGCGGCUUGCUGGGUCGAUACUGACAUUGAGGCACGAAAGCGUGGGUAGCAAACAGGAUUAGAUACCCCUGUAGUC